This 354-nucleotide long non-coding RNA is filed under the name Setaria italica (foxtail millet). RNAcentral describes it as "long non-coding RNA (SITA_LNC000226)". Lineage: Eukaryota; Viridiplantae; Streptophyta; Magnoliopsida; Poales; Poaceae. The record is from RNAcentral.
AGAGUGGCUGAUCAACUACGCUUCGUGAUACCCGUGACUCCCAGGUGACGAAAUUGAUCCACAGUUUUGCCGAUUCCCAGUUACACAGCACAGUUCAAGCGGUCAGACAGACAUGAGGAUGUGUAGGCCAUACGUGAAUCUUAGCAUUAACAGAUUAUUCUGUACAUGCCAUGAGUUUGCCCUGUAAGGUAGAUAUAAGAUAAGCCAAGGCAGCAUAAAACGUAGCCUGUGAUUAUACGACUUUCUGGCUAGGAGCAAGGCAAGGAUCGAUAGUUUGGUAUUGAGCUGUUGGCCUUUAGGGACUACUGAAUGCCCUAUUGGGCUGUCUAUUAUCCUUGGGUAGGCUUGGUUGUC